GCUUACGGCCAUACCACCCUGAGUGCGCCCGAUCUCGUCUGAUCUCGGAAGCUAAGCAGGGUCGGGCCUGGUUAGUACUUGGAUUUGAGAAUGCCUGGGAAUACCAGGUGCUGUAAACU
Cyprinus carpio carpio is the source of this 119-nucleotide ribosomal RNA. NCBI's taxonomy places the organism in Eukaryota, Metazoa, Chordata, Actinopteri, Cypriniformes, Cyprinidae. The record is from Ensembl.